This 253-nucleotide ribosomal RNA is filed under the name uncultured bacterium. Its description in RNAcentral is "partial 16S ribosomal RNA". It matches the Rfam family "Bacterial small subunit ribosomal RNA", at positions 524 to 776 of the family's 1533-position model. The record is from RNAcentral.
UACGGAGGGUGCAAGCGUUAAUCGGAAUUACUGGGCGUAAAGCGUGCGCAGGCGGUUUGUUAAGUCCGUUGUGAAAGCCCCGAGCUCAACUUGGGAAUUGCAGUGGAUACUGGCAGGCUGGAGUACGGUAGAGGAAGGUGGAAUUCCCGGUGUAGCAGUGAAAUGCGUAGAUAUCAGGAGGAACACCUGUGGUGUAGACAGCUUACUGGACCAUUUCUGACGCUGAGACACGAAAGCGUGGGUAGCAAACAGG